RNAcentral lists this long non-coding RNA (543 nucleotides) under Homo sapiens (human). RNAcentral's name for it is "HSALNT0254203". Lineage: Eukaryota; Metazoa; Chordata; Mammalia; Primates; Hominidae. The record is from RNAcentral.
AGAGAUCUCGGGGAUUUGGGUUUGUCACCUUUGAGAACAUUGACGACGCUAAGGAUGCCAUGAUGGCCAUGAAUGGGAAGGUGAGGAUCAGGGUGCUGAGCAGGAGUCCCGUCUCGAGGAUGGGGCACCCACCUGCUAACCCGUCCCGCCCUCUGUCUCCAGUCUGUAGAUGGACGGCAGAUCCGAGUAGACCAGGCAGGCAAGUCGUCAGACAACCGAUCCCGUGGGUACCGUGGUGGCUCUGCCGGGGGCCGGGGCUUCUUCCGUGGGGGCCGAGGACGGGGCCGUGGGUUCUCUAGAGGUGAGUGCCAUGAGUGGGUCCCUUGGGGAUGCUGUGAGGUACUGCUGGUGGGAGCUGGUACUCACUUUUUCCUGUAUGUGCAGGAGGAGGGGACCGAGGCUAUGGGGGGAACCGGUUCGAGUCCAGGAGUGGGGGCUACGGAGGCUCCAGAGACUACUAUAGCAGCCGGAGUCAGAGUGGUGGCUACAGUGACCGGAGCUCGGGCGGGUCCUACAGAGACAGUUAUGACAGUUACGGUAAGU